RNAcentral lists this ribosomal RNA (1153 nucleotides) under Pseudomonas gessardii. Its description in RNAcentral is "bacterial SSU rRNA". It matches the Rfam family "Bacterial small subunit ribosomal RNA", at positions 65 to 1242 of the family's 1533-position model. Lineage: Bacteria; Pseudomonadati; Pseudomonadota; Gammaproteobacteria; Pseudomonadales; Pseudomonadaceae. The record is from RNAcentral.
AGCGGGUAGAGAGAAGCUUGCUUCUCUUGAGAGCGGCGGACGGGUGAGUAAUGCCUAGGAAUCUGCCUGGUAGUGGGGGAUAACGUUCGGAAACGGACGCUAAUACCGCAUACGUCCUACGGGAGAAAGCAGGGGACCUUCGGGCCUUGCGCUAUCAGAUGAGCCUAGGUCGGAUUAGCUAGUUGGUGAGGUAAUGGCUCACCAAGGCGACGAUCCGUAACUGGUCUGAGAGGAUGAUCAGUCACACUGGAACUGAGACACGGUCCAGACUCCUACGGGAGGCAGCAGUGGGGAAUAUUGGACAAUGGGCGAAAGCCUGAUCCAGCCAUGCCGCGUGUGUGAAGAAGGUCUUCGGAUUGUAAAGCACUUUAAGUUGGGAGGAAGGGUUGUAGAUUAAUACUCUGCAAUUUUGACGUUACCGACAGAAUAAGCACCGGCUAACUCUGUGCCAGCAGCCGCGGUAAUACAGAGGGUGCAAGCGUUAAUCGGAAUUACUGGGCGUAAAGCGCGCGUAGGUGGUUUGUUAAGUUGGAUGUGAAAUCCCCGGGCUCAACCUGGGAACUGCAUUCAAAACUGACUGACUAGAGUAUGGUAGAGGGUGGGUGGAAUUUCCUGUGUAGCGGUGAAAUGCGUAGAUAUAGGAAGGAACACCAGUGGCGAAGGCGACCACCUGGACURAUACUGACACUGAGGUGCGAAAGCGUGGGGAGCAAACAGGAUUAGAUACCCUGGUAGUCCACGCCGUAAACGAUGUCAACUAGCCGUUGGAAGCCUUGAGCUUUUAGUGGCGCAGCUAACGCAUUAAGUUGACCGCCUGGGGAGUACGGCCGCAAGGUUAAAACUCAAAUGAAUUGACGGGGGCCCGCACAAGCGGUGGAGCAUGUGUUUUAAUUCGAAGCAACGCGAAGACCUUACCAGGCCUUGACAUCCAAUGAACUUUCUAGAGAUAGAUUGGUGCCUUCGGAACAUUGAGACAGGUGCUGCAUGGCUGUCGUCAGCYCGUGUCGUGMGAUGUUGGAUAAGUCCCGUWACGAGCSCAACCCUGUCUUAGUACCAGCACGUAAUGCUGGCACUCUAGGAACUGCGKACACCGACGAGUGGAUGACGUCAGUCAUCAUGGCAUACGCUGCUACACGUCUACAUGUCGGUACAG